RNAcentral lists this unclassified non-coding RNA (213 nucleotides) under plant metagenome. RNAcentral's name for it is "partial contains small subunit ribosomal RNA, internal transcribed spacer 1, and 5.8S ribosomal RNA". The record is from RNAcentral.
UUUCCGUAGGUGAACCUGCGGAAGGAUCAUUCAUAAUCAGUGUUUUAUGGCACUUUUUUAAAUCCAUAUUCACCUUGUGUGCAAUGUCAGGGUUGAUUUUUCUCUCGAGAGUGUCAGCCCCAAACAUCAACUAUAUCUCAACUCUUUGUCUGAAAAAUAUUAUGAAUAAAACAAUUCAAAAUACAACUUUCAACAACGGAUCUCUUGGCUCUC